This 629-nucleotide ribosomal RNA is filed under the name Rahnella sp. enrichment culture clone SEQ11_Clone3DP1_ANA. RNAcentral describes it as "bacterial SSU rRNA". It matches the Rfam family "Bacterial small subunit ribosomal RNA", at positions 480 to 1105 of the family's 1533-position model. Lineage: Bacteria; Pseudomonadati; Pseudomonadota; Gammaproteobacteria; Enterobacterales; Yersiniaceae. The record is from RNAcentral.
CGCAGAAGAAGCACCGGCUAACUCCGUGCCAGCAGCCCCGGUAAUACGGAGGGUGCAAGCGUUAAUCGGGAAUUACCUGGGCGUAAAGCGCACGCAGGCGGUUUGUUAAGUCAGAUGUGAAAUCCCCGCGCUUAACGUGGGAACUGCAUUUUGAAACUGGCAAGCUAGAGUCUUGUAGAAGGGGUUAGAAUUCCAGGUGUAGCGGUGAAAUGCGUAGAGAUCUGGAGGAAUACCGGUGGCGAAGGCGGCCCCCUGGACAAAGACUGACGCUCAGGUGCGAAAGCGUGGGGAGCAAACAGGAUUAGAUACCCUGGUAGUCCACGCUGUAAACGAUGUCGACUUGGAGGUUGUGCCCUUGAGGCGUGGCUUCCGGAGCUAACGCGUUAAGUCGACCGCCUGGGGAGUACGGCCGCAAGGUUAAAACUCAAAUGAAUUGACGGGGGCCCGCACAAGCGGUGGAGCAUGUGGUUUAAUUCGAUGCAACGCGAAGAACCUUACCUACUCUUGACAUCCACGGAAUUCGCCAGAGAUGGCUUAGUGCCUUCGGGAACCGUGAGACAGGUGCUGCAUGGCUGUCGUCAGCUCGUGUUGUGAAAUGUUGGGUUAAGUCCCGCAACGAGCGCAACCCU